GAUGAAGAACGCAGUGAAAUGCGAUAAGUAAUGUGAAUUGCAGAAUUCAGUGAAUCAUCGAAUCUUUGAACGCACAUUGCGCCCCCUGGUAUUCCGGGGGGCAUGCCUGUUCGAGCGUCAUUACAACCCUCAAGCUCUGCUUGGUGUUGGGCCCCGCCGCCCCGGCGGGCCCUAAAGUCAGUGGCGGUGCCAUCCGGCUCCGAGCGUAGUAAUUCUUCUCGCUCUGGAGGCCCGGGUGUGUGCUCGCCAGCAACCCCCAAUUUUUUUCAGGUUGACCUCGGAUCAGGUAGGGAUACCCGCUGAACUUAAGCAUAUCAAUAAGCGGAGGA
This 329-nucleotide unclassified non-coding RNA is filed under the name soil metagenome. RNAcentral describes it as "partial contains 5.8S ribosomal RNA, internal transcribed spacer 2, and large subunit ribosomal RNA". The stretch from base 1 to 120 matches the Rfam family "5.8S ribosomal RNA", at positions 35 to 154 of the family's 154-position model. The record is from RNAcentral.